Molecule: RNA transcript, 2614 nt
Organism: Archocentrus centrarchus (flier cichlid)
Lineage: Eukaryota; Metazoa; Chordata; Actinopteri; Cichliformes; Cichlidae
Gene: dcst2
Gene name: DC-STAMP domain containing 2
Exons: 14
Source: RefSeq, a predicted model, not a curated record
GCUUCGGUGUGUCACAUGAUGCUUCUGUGGUCUCCAGGUUACACACGAACACCUUAACUGCGGUUAAAGUGUGGAAAGUUUAAAAAAAAAAAGAUGAAGAGUGAAGAGAGGAAGAAGCUCCUGAUGAAAAGCGACAUCAGAGUGCAGGUGGAGAGAGGCGGAGUCACACAGACCAUCAGAGGAGUCCUGAGCAGACCAGCGGGACGCUCUCGCCUCAGCAGCAGGAGGAAGCUCAGCGCUCACCUGGUGGAGGUGGGGCAGAGGAUGGUGGCAUUUGUGUCCGGGCUGCUGAUUGCGUCUCUGUACGGACUCAUGUUUCUCCUCCUGCAGAAACAGCCGCUGUGGUUCUGCGUCUAUACCACGCUGGUCUUGGCUGGUCUGGCAGCGUUUGGUAUGGGACUGUCAGUCAGAGUCAGGGCCAGCAUCAUGGUGAUGCUGCCCUCCCUGUGCUCAGGUCACGGGAGGAACUUCAUCCUCCUCACGUUUGUGUCGCUGCUGCUGUCCGGUCCGCUCAGCAACACGUUGGAGAACACCGAGCGAGCCGCCUCCAGCCUGAUGUGUGGUGCUGAGCUGGCAGCCAAUCAAACACAGGAACUGCUGCAGAAAGCAGCCACGCCCCUCUUCUCUGCAUUGGACCAAAUCAGAGAGAUCAGUAGGAACGCUUACGCUGUCGCAGGAAGGGUCCAGAAAUUCAUCGACACCAUGGCAGACAACACCCGCCAUGUUGCUCGCACGCUGAGGAACGUCCUCCACUUCCUGGCUGAUAUCGGAGACGUCUGUAAUGAAAAGCUGGGCACUCCGUUCAGGAAGUGCCAGGUGCUGUUCAAGGAAGCUCAAAGCGACUGCUCCAACCUGCUGGGGGACUUCAACUUCCUGUGUGACAUCGUGGAUGGCUUCCUGCCCCUCUGCAACCUGGCACGCGCUGGCGAGUUCUUUUGUAUCAUCCCUUCUUACGUCGCCGACCACCUGAGGAAACGUCUCGCAGCUCCUGUCAUCGCAGCCUUUGAGAAGAUGAAGCGCGAGUUUGAGUUUAACAUCUCCGCCUCAGGUAACUUUGACCUGGAUGUCAACAGCAGCCGCUCUCUGCACCAGGUUUCUCAGGACAUCAUGGCAGAGAUUUCCUCAAACCUGCAAGUUUUUCAGAAACUGGCUGGACCGCUGGCGUACGUCGGCCUCAUCCUGCUCAUCUGCUCCUUCCUCAGGGCAGUGCAGUACAGACACAGGUAUCUGCAUGAUAUAAAAUUCAACAACAUUUACAUCACCGCUGAGUUUAAAGACCUUAACCAAAGGUUGACCUCAGUGGGCGGAGCCUCUGUCUUUCCGAUCACAUGCAGAGAGGCCAAGACGUACAUCACGCCACUGUCAUUUCAGCUGACAGACAGAGAGCGGCAGGCGGUGAUGGCGGGCUUGGUUUCAGUCUUCAGACACCUGAUUGUAGGCAGCCUGCUGGUGGCGCUGGACUUCCUGGUGUUCUGGAUUCUGGAUCAGGUGCACCACCUGGUGACGGAGGACAUCGUGGCCAGAGUUCCGGUCAAGGUGGCGAUCCAGGUGAACGGAUCAGGUUACGCCUCAGACAUCUACAGAGACCUGGUGGCCUCGUUCAACAUCCUCCAGCAAAGGAACAUCACCGUGAUCAGCAGGAAGUGCCUGCUAGAGCCAUCAGAACCAAACUACACCACGUGUUUCAUUCUCGGCUUCCUCUUGGGUUUGGCUCUGUUUGUGUCUCUGAUCGGAGGAUUCAUGCAGCGCUGCAGACGGCUCAUCUGUGCUUCAUAUCACCCUGAGCGAGAGCAGGAGAGGAUCCGGUUCCUCCGACAGCACAUCCUGAAUCAGAGGAGGGGGAUUGGCAGAGCCCUGAGGAGGUCUGCAACCAGGGACAGAACCAGCGGAGGAGGAGGACGAGGACGAGGAGGAGGAGGGCGGCUUCAUGCUGUGCUGAUACGUAGCCCAGGAUCAGAAUCGACAGGAUGUGAUCUGAAUGUUUUCAUGAAUCUGUGUCAGCUUACCUGGAGGAGCUCACCUGUCUGACCUGCUGGGCCUGUCAACACCUGACACCUGUCUGGUCUGUGGAGAGGUGCUGAAGCUGCAUGAUGUGAACACGAUCAUCUGUGAUGCCCCACACUGUUCAGGCGCGUACUGUCGGCCGUGCUUCCAGAGUUUGGGAAAUGCAUGUGUCAUCUGCUUGCGACCUCUGACCUUCCAGGAAGACAGUGAGGAGGAGCUGUGAGACACACAUUCAUCCACAUCCACCCACCCACGUUAGUCUGAUUGGCUAAUGACUAAGCAAGUGGUUCCACAGUCAGACCCACCCCCCACUCAUCACAUCUGUUUUGUUGAAUCAAAGAUGGCGACAGUGGAAAUGUUCAUCUCGAGGCUUCAAAACCAGACUUUAGGAUACUGGUAUAGCUCACUGGACUGAGCAGAAAACCCAUAUACCAUAAGGCUAUUGCAGAGGCCUGGGUUUGCAUGAGCCCUGAGGCAAUUUACUGUGUGUCUUCCCCCUGCUCUCUGUCUCCAUAAAGACUAAAAAGCCACCUACUCCCAAAAAACAGAACUUGGGAUGAUGUCACAGUAGCCACUUCCACGUCUUUUAUACUGGCUAUUUUGUUUUGUU